Molecule: transfer RNA, 89 nt
Filed under: Candidatus Babelota bacterium
Lineage: Bacteria
Description: Candidatus Dependentiae bacterium tRNA-Ser
Rfam family: tRNA
About the family: Transfer RNA (tRNA) molecules are approximately 80 nucleotides in length. Their secondary structure includes four short double-helical elements and three loops (D, anti-codon, and T loops).
Source: RNAcentral
GGAGACGUGGCUGAGCUGGCCUAAGGCACUCGUUUUGAAAACGAGCGUGGGUAACACCGCCGUAGGUUCGAAUCCUACCGUCUCCGCCA